This 85-nucleotide transfer RNA is filed under the name Chloroflexota bacterium. RNAcentral's name for it is "Chloroflexi bacterium tRNA-Tyr". It matches the Rfam family "tRNA". From Rfam's summary of the family: Transfer RNA (tRNA) molecules are approximately 80 nucleotides in length. Their secondary structure includes four short double-helical elements and three loops (D, anti-codon, and T loops). Lineage: Bacteria; Bacillati; Chloroflexota. The record is from RNAcentral.
GGCGGGGUGCCGGAGUGGUUAAUCGGAGCAGACUGUAAAUCUGCCGCCCGUUAGGGCUACGUGGGUUCAAAUCCUACCCCCGCCA